UGUUACGCAUGCGCGGCUCGCUGCUGCGGCCAUAACUUUAAGCACACGUGUGCGUACUCGUCUGGCAGCCAUGGCUGGCGAGUCUUUCCUCGCUUGUCCUGCGGCCCUCACCUUUUCUGCAUCUUCCGUCAUCAGGGCACAGGCGCAGUGCAGGGGUAUUCCGAGUCCAGGUGGACAUCGAGGCCAGGUGAGUGGCCCCACAGCCUGGAAGGGAUGACCGAGCUCUUCUGGAAGAUGCCCUGUUUUCUUUUGAUGCAAGGUUUCUCGGUGGUUCUUUCCGACCUGGAAUUCCGGAAGUGAAGGAAAAUCUUAAAGCAAUUACAAAAUACAACUUGAGUUUGGUCCCCGGUGUGCAAAUAAAACUCAAGUCUAGGAAACCUAAGAUGCUGGAGCUAGAAGAGGCUUGAUGGCGCUUCAGAGGCCAUCGGGCUGUUUGUGGAACUUCCGCUAGAGAGAUGCAGAAGCUAAGACUCCAGCUGUGUUGCAGCCUCCCUUAGCCUGAGCUUCAUUCUUUGUCAUUGUCCUCCCAGAUUCCUUCAGGUUUUGAAUCAGGACCCCAGCUGGCCCAUUGUCUGGCAUCUGAGCAGAAUAAAACCAUGGGCAUUGCAGCCUGUUAGAGGAAAGCACACAUGCUAAUCAGAAUACCUCCAAAGGCAAGAAGAUCAGAUCAGACUGGGGUACAAAAAGACCCAGUCCCCGGUCUUCCCCCUCCCCCCCAAAUAAAUUGAUUUUUAUCUAUGAUUCA
Molecule: long non-coding RNA, 745 nt
Organism: Apodemus sylvaticus (European woodmouse)
Lineage: Eukaryota; Metazoa; Chordata; Mammalia; Rodentia; Muridae
Exons: 5
Source: RefSeq, a predicted model, not a curated record